AUGCAUGCAUGUGACUCUCGUUUUUGUUUACCACGUUACGUACGUACAGCCAGCAGCCGUGUGCACGUACGUACGUGCGUACGACCACUACUGCAUGGAACGUGUGCUCCUACUUCUCCACCGAUGGACGCAGCACCUAGGUAUACACGUGAGGUUGCGAGCCUACGGGCCGGCACACUACUCACUCGUCCCGUGGCUGGACGGACAGCGAGGAAAUUAUUAAGAGCUAGCCUAGCUGUAUGGCACAUUGCUGGCACACGUACUACCCAAAGCUAUCAUCGAUUCUAUACCCGGCAUCCAUAA
RNAcentral lists this ribosomal RNA (303 nucleotides) under Triticum aestivum (bread wheat). Its description in RNAcentral is "partial small subunit ribosomal RNA". Lineage: Eukaryota; Viridiplantae; Streptophyta; Magnoliopsida; Poales; Poaceae. The record is from RNAcentral.